Molecule: long non-coding RNA, 2451 nt
Organism: Oxyura jamaicensis (ruddy duck)
Lineage: Eukaryota; Metazoa; Chordata; Aves; Anseriformes; Anatidae
Exons: 3
Source: RefSeq, a predicted model, not a curated record
UCAUUCUUCCCCACACCCCCUACCCUCUCUCCACUCCCCCAACUAUAAAUUCCCUCUGUAGCAUGCUGCCCUUUUUUAAUCCACAUUUGUGUUUCAGAUCAUGUAGAAAGGACAGAAAGUGAGCAGGGAGCGGGGGCUUUUGUCUAUCCUUGUGCUACCUGAGAGAAACUGCAGUCCCAAGACUUUACAGUCUAAAAAUGGAUUGCUCUACUGGCCACUGCUCUUGUUGGUCUUUCCCAGGAUCCUUAGGAUCAAAACUUGAUGCAGUGAGGAAACUGAGCUAAAUGAACUUUUAGUCAGUCUGUGACCAUGUUUUUUUUUUUCCUCCUCUAUUGCUCCAGUGAUUUGUCAGUAUUGGAUAUGACGUUACUGAAGAACUUAAGCAUGCAGACUUUGAUGCUGAGUUUUGCUGCCAUGCUGUGUGUUUACCUUACUCUGCAACAAGAGACUUGGUUGUGCAUCUGCUUCUGCAGUUCCCUUUAAGUAUAGAUACAUAUAGUUGCUAAUUAAAUCAUUACCUGAUUGCUCUUGAAGAGCAAAUGAUGAAGUCACAAAUAACUGACUGAAAAUUCAGAUACUAUUUUAAUAUUCACACCUGUUACUGAUGUUUUCCUAUGUCUAUGUUAAGUAAAAUAACAAAAGCUACCAUUAUUGCACACAGGCAAACAAGAAGAAAACGUGUUGGGUUGAACAGGUUUGGGAGUUUGGUUUUCUGGAGGGCUUGUUUUGUUAUUUGAUUUCUGUAAUAUUUUAUAGUUCUAGAGCCCCAUGUGCUGAAAUUAACUGGUGGAAUAAAGUAGUUCACAGCCUUUUUUUUUUUUUUUUUUUUUCCUUUUAUCAGCCAAUGGAACUUUCAAUAUAAUAUACAUUUGUUUCUUAUUCUGGAAUAAUUGCAUUUCUUUUCCUUUCGAGGCGUGUGGUACUGUGGUAAUGAAUAUCUUUGUUAAAUUCAUGAAUUCAGUCAGAAGUUGGAUGUGUGUUUAUGACAGCAUUCACAAUGUACCACUUGAUUUUUUUUUCUCUUACUCUUCAUAUGCGUGGUAAAUAUUAACAAUGCUUUGCAAUAGUUUUUGCAUGCUUAAUGAGGAAAAAGAGCAGCAUGAGAGCACUUGUAGCACACAAACUAGAUUCAUCCUGACUAAUACAGAAAAGUCCAAAUUCUCUCUGCCUAAAAGCUGUGUUACACUCAGAUGGUGUGGGGAGGAUUUCUCUCAAAAGAAGAACGAACUGUUUUCUACCACUAACCUCAUUCAGUCAUGUAUACCAGAAGACUGCUAACAUUUCUGUUGAGGGGCUCUUACCAGCUAAAGUAUUUGGCAGGAACGUGCUAACUAUAUACUCAGUCUGGAUUACUUUGUGCUUUUCCCCUCCUCAACACCAUACUUGCUCAGUUUUGAAGGCCCGUAGUCAGGUAAGAGACCUGUUGGUAGCAAAACGUGCUUCCUUAGAGAACUUAGUCUCUACCAGCAUCCUUCCCUGCAGCAAGAGGCCCUGCAGCAGUAAAGCACAAUAAUCUUAAAAAGUAUGCACUUCAAUAAAUUUUGUGCAGUCACUCAGAUAGUUUUCUUUUAUACGUCAUGCCAUGCUGUAAGUAGAUAUUUAAAGAUGCAAACUGUGUAAUAUAGAUGAAGACAGGUGUGACUUCUUUGAAGAAGCUGAUGAUGAAGAGCCAGUGUAGGGGCUAGAUAGAAGCAAACACUUCAGUGUAACCCAGAGAAUACAAGCUUUAAGAGCAAUAAAAGAGACAAUGAAGAUGUGUUUAUAUGGUAAGUUUUGUAGUUAAAAGCUAUGAAAGCUACUUCCAAGGUCAUUUCUUUAUGUUGUGUAGGAAAGGAGCAGAUGACAUCUAGUUCUCUAAAACUGACAGAAAUUGAAGAAGUGAUGAACAAGGACUCCAAAAAAACCCCUAAUGAAUAAACUUGCUAAUUCAUGUACAGCAUGGAGAGGGGGAUGCAAGGAAAAGCGUACUUGUCUCAUUUAGGCUUUUUCAUCUCUAUGUGGUUGUGAGUUUGAGUCAUCAGAUGGGGAGGAAUAAAAAGAAGCAAUAAUAUCUUCCCCAUGGAAAGUCAGUGCCAGAAAAGGAUGCUGAUGCAAAGUUAAAGGCAAAUUCAGGUGUGCAGGUGUCUUGCCAUGUUCUGCCAAUAUAUUGCUGUGUGUUAAUUGUUACUUUAACGGGCAGCUCAAGUCUGAAGGUAGGCUGCUUGGAUUAAUCCCAGUUAGGAGGGGACUGAUUGUAUAUCUCUUCAUCAGUUCUCUCAAACCAUUUAUAUCCCUUUAUUUGCUGUGGCGAAGAUGUGUGAAAUGUUUAUAACCCCCUAUCUUUUAUUUGUUUCUUUCUUUUUCUUUUUUCUUCUUUUUUCCACUGAGUUCUGAAUGCUCAUGGCAUGUCACUGAUGUGGAAAGCAUAAUUGCUAGGAAAACCUACUACCCUGACAGUGUAUUGAAAAUGCA